Tribolium castaneum (red flour beetle) is the source of this 871-nucleotide long non-coding RNA. RefSeq lists it as uncharacterized. The record is from RefSeq and is a predicted model, not a curated record. Lineage: Eukaryota; Metazoa; Arthropoda; Insecta; Coleoptera; Tenebrionidae. The transcript is spliced from 4 exons.
AAAAUAAAAAUGGUCGCAAAAGGAAAUUAAUCAUUGCCUGUUUAUUUAAGAGAAUUGCUUAGGUCGCCCAAGAAUCAUAAUUAGAUCAGUCAAUUUCAUCGCGUCCGCCUCUGCUUUUCUCCCAUUUGCCAUGGGUUUGAGUGGCGUUCCCGUCUUUUAUUAUAAUCAUCACACUGUUUCCUUUUCCUGGUGGUGUCUGCACUGUGCCACGAGACCAUUUGUUUUCGAUGGUACAGUGUGGGUUAAUUUAAAAUCACCAACUGGCCCAUUUAGUCGAUUAUGGCACCAGCAAAAAUUAUUUGGACUGAAAAUAAAAUAUUUUAUGGGUAAUGCGCGUUUAUAGUUUUUUCUCUUUGUUUUUUUUUAACGUUGUCACAUUAUCACAGUCAGCAAUUGCUUUCUCAUUUAUUUCCACUUUAAGCGAUUUUUUGUCAAUAUUUUUUUGUUAAUUUAAUGAAUUUGGUGGCUGAUUUCGGUAGCGGAUUUUAUUUAAUGUGAAGCUCGAGUCUUGUUAUAAGUACAUACUUUUCUUUAUCAGAAAUUUUUAUCACAUGUUUUGCUUCCACUUUCAAGGGUCGCCCAACACGAAUGCAAAGAUGGCAUUAAACAGUCGUCAAAUGUGCUAACCAUUGCAAUUUCCACUUGGAGUUAUGAAUUUUGAGAGCUCAAAAGCUGGUGUCUGUGUUGGAUUGGUUUACGGUCUGGUUGCAGUCGGCCUGCGGGAUUCGGAGGAUUUCAAAGGCGUUCUUCGUCUGGUUCUUCAGAAAUUAUUUUUUAACUGUCAAUAAUUAUUAAAUGUUGUUAUAUUUGUUUAUGUUAUGUUUAUUUGUAUAUUGAUUGAUUAUGUUUUUUUUAAUAAACGCUAAAGAAA